This 581-nucleotide ribosomal RNA is filed under the name uncultured marine eukaryote. RNAcentral's name for it is "bacterial SSU rRNA". It matches the Rfam family "Eukaryotic small subunit ribosomal RNA", at positions 614 to 1201 of the family's 1831-position model. The record is from RNAcentral.
UGCGGUUAAAACGCUCGUAGUUGAUAUUCUGCUGACAGUUCUGGGUACGCCCUAGCGGCGCUAACUUCAGAAUGUGUUCGCAUCAUCUUAGGGAAUGAUAUUGUACUUAACUGUACGAAUCAGAAACUGGGUCUUUUACUUUGAGGAAAUCGGAGUGCUCCAAGCAAGCGAACGCCCUGCACACUGUAGCAUGGAAUAAUCUUACAAACUCCAUCUACCAUGGAUGACUCUGGUAGUGGAGGUUAUGGGGAAAAGGAACAAAUGGGGGUAUUUGUAUUUAACUGCUAGAGGUGAAAUUCUUGGAUUUGUUAAAGACAACCAGCUGCGAAGGCAUUUGCCAAGGAUGUUUUCAUUGAUCAAGAACGAAAGUUAAGGGAUCGAAGACGAUCAGAUACCGUCCUAGUCUUAACCGUAAACUAUGCCGACUAGGGAUUGAGGGAUAUUGUUACUAUGAUACUCUCAGCACCUUUGGAGAAAUCAAAGUUUCUGGGUUCCGGGGGGAGUAUGGUCGCAAGGCUGAAACUUAAAGGAAUUGACGGAAGGGCACCACCAGGAGUGGAGCCUGCGGCUUAAUUUGACUC